GGAGAAGUCUGACGGAGCAACGCCGCGUGUAUGAAGAAGGCUUUCGGGUUGUAAAGUACUGUUGUCAGGGACGAACCGUAUAUGUGUAAAUAAUGCAUAUACCUGACGGUACCUGACGAGGAAGCCCCGGCUAACUACGUGCCAGCAGCCGCGGUAAUACGUAGGGGGCGAGCGUUGUCCGGAAUUAUUGGGCGUAAAGGGCGCGUAGGCGGCUGUAUAAGUCUGAUGUGAAAGUGCGGAGCUUAACUCCGUAAAGCAUUGGAAACUGUACGGCUUGAGGACAGGAGAGGAAAGUGGAAUUCCACGUGUAGCGGUGAAAUGCGUAGAUAUGUGGAGGAACACCAGUGGCGAAGGCGACUUUCUGGACUGUAACUGACGCUGAGGCGCGAAAGCGUGGGGAGCGAACAGGAUUAGAUACCCUGGUAGUCCACGCCGUAAACGAUGAGUGCUAGGUGUAGAGGGUAUCGACCCCUUCUGUGCCGCAGUUAACACAAUAAGCACUCCGCCUGGGGAGUACGGCCGCAAGGUUGAAACUCAAAGGAAUUGACGGA
RNAcentral lists this ribosomal RNA (551 nucleotides) under uncultured Syntrophorhabdus sp. RNAcentral describes it as "bacterial SSU rRNA". It matches the Rfam family "Bacterial small subunit ribosomal RNA", at positions 374 to 917 of the family's 1533-position model. The record is from RNAcentral. Lineage: Bacteria; Pseudomonadati; Thermodesulfobacteriota; Syntrophorhabdia; Syntrophorhabdales; Syntrophorhabdaceae.